AUUGAACACUGGCGGCAGGCCUAACACAUGCAAGUCGAGCGAGCGGCGGACGGGUGAGCAAGGUAUGGGGCCUGCCCGAUAGAGGGGGCGAAAUACUGGAAACGGUAGCUAAUACCGCAUACUAUCGGAUAACCAAUAUUGGAUUAGCUAGUAGGUGAGGUAAUGGCUCACCUGGGCGACGAUCCCUCGCUGGUCGGAGAGGAUGAUCAGCCCUACUGGGACUGGGACACGGCCCCGACUCCUACGGGGGCAGCAGUGGGGAAUAGUGCACAAUGGGCGCAAGCCUGAUGCAGCCAUGCCGGGUGUAUGAAGAAGGCCCUAGGGUUGUAAAGUACUUUCAGUCGGGAGGCGUUACCGACAGAAGAAGCUCCGGCUAACUCCGUGCCAGCAGCCGCGGUAAUAC
This 403-nucleotide ribosomal RNA is filed under the name uncultured bacterium. RNAcentral describes it as "partial 16S ribosomal RNA". It matches the Rfam family "Bacterial small subunit ribosomal RNA", at positions 30 to 526 of the family's 1533-position model. The record is from RNAcentral.